ACGAACGCUGGCGGCAUGCCUAACACCUGCAAGUCGAACGAGACCUUCGGGUCUAGUGGCGCACGGGUGCGUAACGCGUGGGAACCUGCCCUUAGGUUCGGAAUAACUCCCCGAAAGGGGUGCUAAUACCGGAUAAUGUCUUCGGACCAAAGAUUUAUCGCCUUUGGAUGGGCCCGCGUUGGAUUAGCUAGUUGGUAGGGUAAAAGCCUACCAAGGCGACGAUCCAUAGCUGGUCUGAGAGGAUGAUCAGCCACACUGGGACUGAGACACGGCCCAGACUCCUACGGGAGGCAGCAGUGGGGAAUAUUGGACAAUGGGCGAAAGCCUGAUCCAGCAAGGCCGCGUGAGUGAUGAAGGCCUUAGGGUUGUAAAGCUCUUUUACCCGGGAUGAUAAUGACAGUACCGGGAGAAUAAGCUCCGGCUAACUCCGU
RNAcentral lists this ribosomal RNA (431 nucleotides) under uncultured bacterium. Its description in RNAcentral is "partial 16S ribosomal RNA". It matches the Rfam family "Bacterial small subunit ribosomal RNA", at positions 29 to 506 of the family's 1533-position model. The record is from RNAcentral.